RNAcentral lists this small RNA (125 nucleotides) under Marmota monax (woodchuck). Lineage: Eukaryota; Metazoa; Chordata; Mammalia; Rodentia; Sciuridae. The record is from RNAcentral.
GCCGGGCAUGGUGGCUCACGCCUGUCAUCCCAGCAGCUCGGAAGGCUGAGACAGGAGGAUGGCAAGUUCAAAGCCAGCCUCAGCAAUGGUGGGGCGCUAAACAACUCAGUGAGACCCUGUCUCUA